This 94-nucleotide microRNA precursor is filed under the name Branchiostoma floridae (Florida lancelet). RNAcentral's name for it is "mir-2060 microRNA precursor family". It matches the Rfam family "mir-2060 microRNA precursor family". The record is from Rfam by way of RNAcentral. Lineage: Eukaryota; Metazoa; Chordata; Leptocardii; Amphioxiformes; Branchiostomatidae.
UUUUAUCUAUGUGUAUAUUGUGUUCAGCAUCAGGGACAGGUGCGUUUAUCUAUCCGUGGAUUGUUUUCAGCACAUGGGACAGGUGUGUCUAUCU